CCUACGGGGGGCUGCAGUGGGGAAUAUUGCACAAUGGGGGAAACUCUGAUGCAGCGACGCCGCGUGAAGGAAGAAGUAUUUCGGUAUGUAAACUUCUAUCAGCAGGGAAGAAAAUGACGGUACCUGACUAAGAAGCCCCGGCUAACUACGUGCCAGCAGCCGCGGUAAUACGUAGGGGGCAAGCGUUAUCCGGAUGGACGGGGUGGAAAGGGGGCGUAGGUGGUUCAGCAAGUCAGAAGUGAAAGUCCGGGGCUCAACUCCGGGACUGCUUUUGAAACUGUUGAACUAGAUUGCAGGAGAGGGAAGUGGAAUUCCUAGUGUAGCGGUGAAAUGCGUAGAUAUUAGGAGGAACACCAGUGGCGAAGGCGGCUUGCUGGACUGUAAAUGACGCUGAGGCUCGAAAGCGUGGGGAGCAAACAGGAUUAGAUACCCGUGUAGUC
RNAcentral lists this ribosomal RNA (440 nucleotides) under uncultured bacterium. RNAcentral's name for it is "partial 16S ribosomal RNA". It matches the Rfam family "Bacterial small subunit ribosomal RNA", at positions 338 to 795 of the family's 1533-position model. The record is from RNAcentral.